Oncorhynchus tshawytscha (Chinook salmon) is the source of this 1284-nucleotide long non-coding RNA. RefSeq lists it as uncharacterized. Lineage: Eukaryota; Metazoa; Chordata; Actinopteri; Salmoniformes; Salmonidae. The record is from RefSeq and is a predicted model, not a curated record. The transcript is spliced from 3 exons.
UUGGAGAUCCACAAAAUCUACUCACAUAGAUUUCCAAAAGGCUGGAACAGAAAAGGUACAAAGACAUUAUGAGCUACUUGAACUUUUAACAUGUUCAACCCAUGAUCCAGAUCAAACAUUUUUUUAAACUUGAUUAAUAUAUUUUGCCAUUAACAGGAGCAAGAGAAACUAAAUCUGUUCAAACAGAUGACAUAUCCUCUCUCCCCAUCGAGGCUCCGUGCCAAUUUGAACUAGUCUAUGCCUGUUCACUCCAGCAUCCGAAGUUGGAGAAGCAGAAGAGUUUGAGCUGGGAGUCCUUUGCAAUUGGCUUCCCAGACAGAAGUGACACAGCAGACCUGUUAGUGGAUGACAGAGGAUCAUACGAUAAUGAACAUUUUGCUGACGAUGGAGAGCUGCAUGGUGAUUAUGACAAGGAGGAUCCACAACUUUAGGGUGAGGAGUAUUGCCUUGCAGAGGAGGCAGCGAGUUCCCUCAAGGCUUCAGAAGGAGUGCAAACAGAGCCAUUUGAAAGCCAGGUCCGGUACACUCUGGAUGACUUUCAGAAUACAGAACGUGCCAACAUGGCCCUCAAAUCCCCUCCCAGGACCAAGCACCUCUACACAUUCAAAGAAACCAUCCAGAACCUACACAGUGGGAAGCCUGCCUAUGCCAGCCAUAGCCAAAGCCUGAGAAAAAGCCCUCCUAAAUACAUCAAGAGCCAGGCCAGGGUGGAGAACCUGGGGUCUAGGGCGUAUGAGCCCUCCUUCACUCUACCAGCAGAGAAGUGCCAAAGGCGUGACACCAUGGACCCUCAACCCGGAAGAUGGCGUAGUCCGCAGCAAGAAGAGUAUCUUGAUGAAAGAGCUUUUUGGCCAGGCCCUAAUCACUGAUCCAAAUGGCCAUGCAGACAGGCAGAUCCAGAGUUCAAAGCACAGACCUGGACAGAACGUCCUCUUACCAUACAGGAGACGCUAGCCCGGUCUCACCUGGGAGACCAAGAUCAUUUUUUAUUGACCCAAGAAGUAUACAAAAUUAUAAUAUAUUUGUAUUAUUUGAUAAAUUAUUAUUUAUCUGCCAUGGCAACUCAACACAUUACUAAAUGGAGUAUUUGUAUUCUGACACUAUUGCUCAUGACAAAUUCCUUAACUCCCUUGAAAUCAGAUUGUAAUAAAAGCAACAUUCAAUGAAGAUGCCACCUAUGCCACAAUGGUACACUUAGUUUUUUUUAUAAAAGCCUCUCUAAAAUACCCAAGAUGCUAAGAACAACCAACACUUUAGGCCUUCAGUUUUCAAAUUCUUUAUUGU